AACGCAUAUUGCGCCCUCUGGUAUUCCGGAGGGCAUGCCUGUCCGAGCGUCAUUACUACCUUCAAGCACGGCUUGUGUGUUGAGCAUCUGUUCUUUUCAUGGACAGGCUUGAAAUGCAGUGGCGAUGGCGAGUUUGGAGCCCGAGCGUAUGGAGCUUUGUCACGCGCUGUGAUGGCCCGGCUCACUAUCUCCUUUAACCCUAAAAUUAAAUCUGAUUGACCUCGGAUCAGGCAGGGAUACCCGCUGAACUUAA
This 253-nucleotide unclassified non-coding RNA is filed under the name uncultured Eurotiales. RNAcentral describes it as "sequence contains 5.8S rRNA gene, ITS2, 28S rRNA gene". The stretch from base 1 to 52 matches the Rfam family "5.8S ribosomal RNA", at positions 103 to 154 of the family's 154-position model. Lineage: Eukaryota; Fungi; Ascomycota; Eurotiomycetes; Eurotiales. The record is from RNAcentral.